AACGAACGCUGGCGGCAUGCCUAACACAUGCAAGUCGAACGAGACCUUCGGGUCUAGUGGCGCACGGGUGCGUAACGCGUGGGAACCUGCCCUUAGGUUCGGAAUAACUCCCCGAAAGGGGUGCUAAUACCGGAUAAUGUCUUCGGACCAAAGAUUUAUCGCCUUUGGAUGGGCCCGCGUUGGAUUAGCUAGUUGGUAGGGUAAAAGCCUACCAAGGCGACGAUCCAUAGCUGGUCUGAGAGGAUGAUCAGCCACACUGGGACUGAGACACGGCGCAGACUCCUACGGGAGGCAGGAGUGGGGAAUAUUGGACAAUGGGCGAAAGCCUGAUCCAGCAAUGCCGCGUGAGUGAUGAAGGCCGUAGGGUUGUAAAGCUCUUUUACCCGGGAUGAUAAUGACAGUACCGGGAGAAUAAGCACCGGCUAACUCCGUG
RNAcentral lists this ribosomal RNA (433 nucleotides) under uncultured bacterium. RNAcentral's name for it is "partial 16S ribosomal RNA". It matches the Rfam family "Bacterial small subunit ribosomal RNA", at positions 29 to 507 of the family's 1533-position model. The record is from RNAcentral.